CAGCAGCCACGGGAAUACGUAGGGGGCAAGCGUUAUCCGGAAUAACUGGGCGUAAAGGGUGCGCAGGUGGUUUAACAAGUUAGUGGUGAAAGGCAUAGGCUCAACCAAUGUAAGCCAUUAAAACUGUUUAACUUGAGUGCAGGAGAGGAAAGUGGAAUUCCUAGUGUAGCGGUGAAAUGCGUAGAUAUUAGGAGGAAUACCAGUGGCGAAGGCGACUUUCUGGACUGCAACUGACACUGAGGCACGAAAGCGUGGGGAGCAAACAGGAUUAGAUACCCCCGUAGUCCCUGUCUCUUAUACA
RNAcentral lists this ribosomal RNA (301 nucleotides) under uncultured bacterium. RNAcentral's name for it is "partial 16S ribosomal RNA". It matches the Rfam family "Bacterial small subunit ribosomal RNA", at positions 509 to 808 of the family's 1533-position model. The record is from RNAcentral.